GGAGCACUGGGCGGUUUUGGGCGGGGAGUGGCAUGCAGUGACUCGGGGAGCGGCGGCGGGGGGGGGGACAGGAGGCAGCUGGGUGGCCACAUUUUCCGUGGUCUCUACCCCCUCCCCAUGCCAGAGAGUCCUCACAGCCAGCUGGCCCGAAAGGACAGAAAUCCUAUCCUGGCCACAGGACCAGGGUCCGGGCUCACUGUGGACAUUGUCUCCCUGUCCUCUUCUGCCUGGGGGAGGACUUUAAGGCCCCUGUUGGGGCCUCCGUUUGGGUUCGUCUGCUGGUUCGACUGGGGGUUUGGAGGGAGCCCACAGAGCUGGAGUGCCCUUCUUAUGACGUCGUAUCUAAGAGGUUGGUUCGUGCGCUUUCUCUCCAAGCAUCAGGCUCAACUCACCGGAGGAGGAAAGCGAAGCCUCUGGGCGCUUGUGACAGCUGACAUAUUCCCAGCAAGCUGAGGGAUGGUUCCCAUUAAAUGAGGAUUUAUGAUCAAUCCCCGCAAAUUAAGGCUGCCUCGUGAGCUGCAGGUGAGACCCUCGCCAGUGAGUCUUUGUUAAUUAGCAUCCUGGCUUGUUCGGGAGAAGAAAAGCCAGAGUGUGUGUUUGUUGAAAAUGUGCCUUUCCAUUUCGGGGCAGCUGUCUCCGGUGCCGACGGCACAGAUCGGGGACGGGCGGGCAGCUGCCUGCUGUGGGCCACACUAUGGGUGGCCCUUGCCCUAGGGUUAGACGGUCUGUUCGAGCAUCCUGAUUCUAGAGGGAUCAGAACGAAUGCCCCUUCUGGGUACUCAGUUUUGCUUUGGGAUACAAUCAGAGAUCAAAGACAUCUCUCUCUUCCUCUGCAACUCACACACACUGGCCCCUGCACACACCUCUGCUCUGUGCUCUGUUUCUUAUCAGUUCCGUGCCCUCCUCAGCUGCUGAACUUUCCCUCGCAUGUCUCCGUCUCUAAAGAGGGGUAGCACGGUAACACCCCUGCAGCUGGUUGGAUUGUGUCUCACUCCCACCAAAAAUAUGUCGGUAUCUCAACCCCUGGUGCCUGUGCAUGUGGCCUGAUUUCGAAUUAGGUUCUUUGCAGUUGUAAUUAAUUCAGGACCUUGAGAAGAGGUUAUCCUGGGUCAGGGUGGGCCCUACACCCACAGGCUGGUGUCUUUAUGGGGAGAGGAGAGGACCAGCAGACAUGCAGAGAAGAAAAUGAUAUGAAGAUUAGGCGUGAGGUGGCCACAAGCCAGGGAGCCUCCACGUGCUGGGAAGCCACAUGAAGGAUUCUGCCCGAGAGUCUUUAAAAAAAAAUUUUUUUAAUGUUUGUUUUAUUUUUUAAGUGAGAGGGACAGAGUGGGAGCAGGGGAGGGGCAGAGAGAGAGAGAGGGAGACAUAGAAUCCAAAGCAGGCUCUAGGCUCCGAGCUGUCAGCACAGAGCCCGAUGCGGGGCUCGAACUCACAAACUGCAAGAUCGUGACUU
This 1453-nucleotide long non-coding RNA is filed under the name Felis catus (domestic cat). RNAcentral's name for it is "lncRNA (ENSFCAG00000053060.1)". The record is from RNAcentral. Lineage: Eukaryota; Metazoa; Chordata; Mammalia; Carnivora; Felidae.